GUCCAGACUCCUACGGGAGGCAGCAGUGGGGAAUAUUGCACAAUGGGGGAAACCCUGAUGCAGCAACGCCGCGUGAAGGAAGACGGUUUUCGGAUUGUAAACUUCUGUUCUUAGUGAAGAAUAAUGACGGUAGCUAAGGAGCAAGCCACGGCUAACUACGUGCCAGCAGCCGCGGUAAUACGUAGGUGGCAAGCGUUGUCCGGAAUUACUGGGUGUAAAGGGAGCGUAGACGGCAUGGCAAGUCAGAUGUGAAAGCCCGGGGCUCAACCCCGGGACUGCAUUUGAAACUGUCAGGCUGGAGUGCAGGAGAGGUAAGUGGAAUUCCUAGUGUAGCGGUGAAAUGCGUAGAUAUUAGGAGGAACACCAGUGGCGAAGGCGGCUUACUGGACUGUAACUGACGUUGAGGCUCGAAAGCGUGGGGAGCAAACAGGAUUAGAUACCCUAGUA
This 447-nucleotide ribosomal RNA is filed under the name uncultured bacterium. RNAcentral's name for it is "bacterial SSU rRNA". It matches the Rfam family "Bacterial small subunit ribosomal RNA", at positions 329 to 792 of the family's 1533-position model. The record is from RNAcentral.